Non-coding RNA from Flavobacterium sp. 40-81, 106 nucleotides. The record is from Rfam. NCBI's taxonomy places the organism in Bacteria, Pseudomonadati, Bacteroidota, Flavobacteriia, Flavobacteriales, Flavobacteriaceae.
ACUCAACACUAACAAAUUAAAAUGGGUGAAUCAUCGUUUCUAAAGCAAGCUGUCCAGAACAGAUCCUUGAACAACGAGUUAACUCAAAACUUGUCUUUACGAGUUU